UUUGCAUGUUACUACAAAGCCCCUCGUCCACAAUUAAUCUUCUUUACCCGUACCGUACAAGUAAACUAAACGUCAGCCAAUAGGCAAUGACUCAUGAGAAUGUCAAAUCAAAGAAUUAUAAAAACGGUCUUAGCUUACGUCUUAGAAUCUAGUGAUCGAUGGUGUUAAAACGGUAAAUUUACUACUAAACUUAAAACUAUUGAAAUAUUAUACUACAUCUAACUUAUAGGCUACAAGUAAACUAAAAUCUAGUGGUAUUUAAAGACGGUAUUUAAAGGUGAUUUAAAGAUAUUUCGAUAUUGAAUUGAGGUAUUAAAUAGCGGACUGUAUUAUUUCUAAUCGCCCUUAAUAUACUUGGUCUAGCCUAGAACACGACCAGAUUAGAGUGGCUAAUACGUGGAGUAAACUACCAAGGAGGAAACAAUUAGAAGCCUAAGAAGGC
This is a long non-coding RNA of Topomyia yanbarensis, 442 nucleotides long. RefSeq lists it as uncharacterized. The transcript is spliced from 3 exons. Lineage: Eukaryota; Metazoa; Arthropoda; Insecta; Diptera; Culicidae. The record is from RefSeq and is a predicted model, not a curated record.